RNAcentral lists this ribosomal RNA (497 nucleotides) under uncultured bacterium. Its description in RNAcentral is "partial 16S ribosomal RNA". It matches the Rfam family "Bacterial small subunit ribosomal RNA", at positions 28 to 507 of the family's 1533-position model. The record is from RNAcentral.
GAUGAACGCUGGCGGCGUGCCUAAUACAUGCAAGUCGAGCGAACAGACGAGGAGCUUGCUCCUCUGACGUUAGCGGCGGACGGGUGAGUAACACGUGGAUAACCUACCUAUAAGACUGGGAUAACUUCGGGAAACCGGAGCUAAUACCGGAUAAUAUAUUGAACCGCAUGGUUCAAUAGUGAAAGACGGUUUUGCUGUCACUUAUAGAUGGAUCCGCGCCGCAUUAGCUAGUUGGUAAGGUAACGGCUUACCAAGGCGACGAUGCGUAGCCGACCUGAGAGGGUGAUCGGCCACACUGGAACUGAGACACGGUCCAGACUCCUACGGGAGGCAGCAGUAGGGAAUCUUCCGCAAAGGGCGAAAGCUUGACGGAGCAACGCCGCGUGAGUGAUGAAGGUCUUCGGAUCGUAAAGCUCUGUUAUUAGGGAAGAACAAAUGUGUAAGUAACUAUGCACGUCUUGACGGUACCUAAUCAGAAAGCCACGGCUAACUACGUG